GGGGAUUUAGCUCAGUGGUAGAGCGCUUGCCUAGCAAGCGCAAGGCCCUGGAUCCAGUCCUCA
RNAcentral lists this transfer RNA (63 nucleotides) under Rattus norvegicus (Norway rat). It matches the Rfam family "tRNA". From Rfam's summary of the family: Transfer RNA (tRNA) molecules are approximately 80 nucleotides in length. Their secondary structure includes four short double-helical elements and three loops (D, anti-codon, and T loops). Further hydrogen bonds mediate the characteristic L-shaped molecular structure. tRNAs have two regions of fundamental functional importance: the anti-codon, which is responsible for specific mRNA codon recognition, and the 3' end, to which the tRNAs corresponding amino acid is attached (by aminoacyl-tRNA synthetases). tRNAs cope with the degeneracy of the genetic code in two manners: having more than one tRNA (with a specific anti-codon) for a particular amino acid; and 'wobble' base-pairing, i.e. permitting non-standard base-pairing at the 3rd anti-codon position. Lineage: Eukaryota; Metazoa; Chordata; Mammalia; Rodentia; Muridae. The record is from Rfam by way of RNAcentral.